UGCGUAGGUGGUUUGAUAAGUUAUCUGUGAAAUUCCCGGGCUUAACCUGGGGCGGUCAGAUAAGACUGUUGAACUAGAGUAUGGGAGAGGGUAGUGGAAUUUCCGGUGUAGCGGUGAAAUGCGUAGAGAUCGGAAGGAACACCAGUGGCGAAGGCGGCUACCUGGCCUAAUACUGACACUGAGGCACGAAAGCGUGGGGAGCAAACCAAG
RNAcentral lists this ribosomal RNA (210 nucleotides) under uncultured bacterium. RNAcentral's name for it is "partial 16S ribosomal RNA". It matches the Rfam family "Bacterial small subunit ribosomal RNA", at positions 568 to 777 of the family's 1533-position model. The record is from RNAcentral.